GACGAACGCUGGCGGCGUGCUUAACACAUGCAAGUCGAACGGAAAGGCCCUGCUUUUGUGGGGUGCUCGAGUGGCGAACGGGUGAGUAACACGUGAGUAACCUGCCCUUGACUUUGGGAUAACUUCAGGAAACUGGGGCUAAUACCGGAUAGGAGCUCCUGCUGCAUGGUGGGGGUUGGAAAGUUUCGGCGGUUGGGGAUGGACUCGCGGCUUAUCAGCUUGUUGGUGGGGUAGUGGCUUACCAAGGCUUUGACGGGUAGCCGGCCUGAGAGGGUGACCGGCAACAUGGGGAGUGAGUGCCGCCCCACACCCCUAGGGGGGGAAGAGGGGGGAAAUUUGGCCAAGGGGGGGGAGGCCUGAUGCAGCACCCCCGGGUGGGGGAGGACGGCCUUCGGUUUGUAACCCGCUUUCGCCUGUGACGAAGGGGGAGUGACGGUAGUGGAAAAAGAACCCCGGGCAAACUAGGGC
RNAcentral lists this ribosomal RNA (468 nucleotides) under uncultured bacterium. RNAcentral describes it as "partial 16S ribosomal RNA". It matches the Rfam family "Bacterial small subunit ribosomal RNA", at positions 28 to 508 of the family's 1533-position model. The record is from RNAcentral.